ACAUGCUCCUAGACCGUGGGAUAGUGUGUGGCACAGUGGGAUUCUGAAAGGCCCAGGGGACAGAUGUGAUCUUCCUGGAUCCCACAGUGAGGUGUACUGCCCAAGAAAGUGUUGAUAACACUUGGGGACAGAGUAGUCAUUUGCUGUUUUUAUCAGCGAGGAGGCCCACAGAGAGGCUUUGAGGUUCCUGAAGACCAGAAGGAGCUACACAAACAUGUUGGGGGUGGUGACCUCUCGGUGAUUCUAAGAGACCUUGGAACCCCUCUUCUUGGCACAAAACAAGAAAGGACAAGGACAUCUUGGGUCUUACACUGUAACACGAAUAUUGACAGAGAGAGACAGAGCAUGAACGGGGGAGGGGCAG
Long non-coding RNA from Lynx canadensis (Canada lynx), 364 nucleotides. RefSeq lists it as uncharacterized. The transcript is spliced from 5 exons. Lineage: Eukaryota; Metazoa; Chordata; Mammalia; Carnivora; Felidae. The record is from RefSeq and is a predicted model, not a curated record.